UAACUUUUUAUUACUUCGAGAACAAUUUUAACGAUAUUCUAUGAAUUUUGCGUAUGAAAAAAAAAAAAAAAUCAUUCAGGAUGGAACGGUUUAUCGGCUUACUUAAAUCCGAGAUUUCGAUUCGACGACGUAAAAUUCAUUUUAAGACCCACUCGUGGCCGAGCGAUUGAAUGUUUAAAGCAGUUCUAAAACAGAUGCUUGUGUUUUAUAGUUGCAUAAAGGCACGUAGUUAAAUUGCGGCCAUUAUCGCGGAGAUCAAAUGAUGAAUGCCGAUUCGAGAAAUAUGAGGUUCACGCGAACACCUCAACCAGUGUGCAACCACGUAUCGAUAUUCACGUUUGAUCGAUCCAUCGUAGUUAACGACCAUAGAUGGACAAGAAUUGCGAAAAGUAAUUAAACCCGAUUGGUUACGAAUUAUAAUCAUGCUUGUAAAUUAAUUUUCGAUAUACUACCGAGAUAUCGUCUCAGAUAUUGGCCAACGAUCAAUGAAAAAUUAAAGAUAUGGCUUCUCUUGGUCGGAUCACGAAUUAUAAUCAUCCUUGUAAAUUAAUUUUCGAUACACAACACCGAGAUAUCGUCUCAGAUAUAAGCGAAUGAUCGAUGAAAAAUUAAGAAAGUUUCAGAUAUAAGCUUCUUUUUUUGCUACCAUAAAUUAUAAUCAAGCUUAUAAAUUAAUUCUCGAUAUAAUAUCGUCUCGGAUAUGGGCGAACGAUCAAUGAAAAAUCAAGAGAGGUUAUGUAUAUUUUGAUUGCGUUUAAGUAAUACGUUUAUGAUUUAAUUCCAGAUAUGGCCUCUCUUUUAAUACCAUGAAUUAUAAUCAAACUCUAACAAAUUAAUUUUCGAAUUUAUAUUAUCGUCUUGGAUAUGAGAGAACGAUCAAUCAAAAAUUAAGAAAGAUACGUAUAUUUCGAUAGUUUCUUUUAGGUUAGGUUAGGUUAAAUGAUAAACUAUGAUAUUUCAAUAGACGCAUAGGAUAUUUAUAUAAAUUUUUCUACCAUGUUUGUUACGAGCUGAAAUGUUGAACAGUAAUAAAAAUAUCUUUGACCCA
This 1048-nucleotide long non-coding RNA is filed under the name Apis mellifera (honey bee). RNAcentral describes it as "uncharacterized LOC100577257, transcript variant X1". Lineage: Eukaryota; Metazoa; Arthropoda; Insecta; Hymenoptera; Apidae. The record is from RNAcentral.